CUAGUGAUUGGCGGACGGGUGAGUAAUAUAUAGGUAAUGUGCCCUAGAGAAGAGGAUAACAGUUGGAAACGACUGCUAAUACUCUAUAUGCCUUUAAGACAAAAGUCUGCAAGGGAAAUAUUUAUAGCUCUAGGAUCGGCCUGUACGGUAUCAGCUAGUUGGUGAGGUAAUGGCUCACCAAGGCAAUGACGCCUAACUGGUUUGAGAGGAUGAUCAGUCACACUGGAACUGAGACACGGUCCAGACUCCUACGGGAGGCAGCAGUGGGGAAUAUUGCACAAUGGGGGAAACCCUGAUGCAGCAACGCCGCGUGGAGGAUGACACAUUUCGGUGCGUAAACUCCUUUUAUAUAGGAAGAUAAUGACGGUACUAUAUGAAUAAGCGCCGGCUAACUCCGUGCCAGCAGCCGCGGUAAUACGGAGGGCGCAAGCGUUACUCGGAAUCACUGGGCGUAAAGAGCGUGUAGGCGGGUUAAUAAGUUUGAAGUGAAAUCCUAUGGCUCAACCAUAGAACUGCUUUGAAAACUGUUAACCUAGAAUAUGGGAGAGGUAGAUGGAAUUUCUGGUGUAGGGGUAAAAUCCGUAGAGAUCAGAAGGAAUACCGAUUGCGAAGGCGAUCUACUGGAACAUUAUUGACGCUGAGACGCGAAAGCGUGGGGAGCAAACAGGAUUAGAUACCCUGGUAGUCCACGCCCUAAACGAUGUACACUAGUUGUUGUGAGGCUAGACCUUGCAGUAAUGCAGUAAACACAUU
This 753-nucleotide ribosomal RNA is filed under the name uncultured Arcobacter sp. RNAcentral describes it as "bacterial SSU rRNA". It matches the Rfam family "Bacterial small subunit ribosomal RNA", at positions 88 to 861 of the family's 1533-position model. The record is from RNAcentral. Lineage: Bacteria; Pseudomonadati; Campylobacterota; Epsilonproteobacteria; Campylobacterales; Arcobacteraceae.